CAUCAGCUAGUUGGUAAGGUAAUGGCCUACCAAGGCAAUGACGGGUAGGGGACCUGAGAGGGUGGCCCCCCACAAUGGAACUGAAACACGGUCCAUACACCUACGGGUGGCAGCAGUAGGGAAUAUUAGAAAUGGACGAAAGUCUGAUCUAGCGACACCGCGUGUGCGAUGAAGGCCUUCGGGUUGUAAAGCACUUUUUGGAAGGAAUAGGAAGGAAGGUACUUCCAGAAUAAGUCUCGGCUAACUACGUGCCAGCAGCCGCGGUAACACGUAGGAGGCAAACGUUAUCCGGAUUUACUGGGCGUAAAGCGCGUGUAGGUGGUUCUGUAAGUAGGGCGUGAAAGCUCCCGGCUCAACUGGGAGAGGCCGUUCUAAACUGCAGAGCUAGAGGAUGGUAGAGGGAGGUGGAAUUCCAGGUGUAGCGGUGGAAUGCGCAGAUAUCUGGAGGAACACCAGUGGCGAAGGCGGCCUCCUGGACCAUUCCUGACACUCAGACGCGAAAGCUAGGGUAGCAAACGGGAUUAGAGACCCCGGUAGUCCUAGCCCUAAACGAUGUAGACUAGACGUCGGUGGUGUAAUAGCUGUCGGUGUCCAAGCUAACGCGAUAAGUCUACCGCCUGGGGACUACGGCCGCAAGGUUAAAACUCAAAGGAAUUGACGGGUCCCCGCACAAGCAGCGGAGCGUGUGGUUUAAUUUCGUUGCUACACGAAGAACCUUACCUGGGUUUGACAUAGCAGUGUUAGGGAAGAAGAAAUCGGGACCGACCCUUCGGGGAGCUGUUACAGUGUUGCAUGCUGUCGUCAGCCUCGUGUCGUGAG
RNAcentral lists this ribosomal RNA (819 nucleotides) under uncultured Bellilinea sp. RNAcentral describes it as "bacterial SSU rRNA". It matches the Rfam family "Bacterial small subunit ribosomal RNA", at positions 239 to 1071 of the family's 1533-position model. The record is from RNAcentral. Lineage: Bacteria; Bacillati; Chloroflexota; Anaerolineae; Anaerolineales; Anaerolineaceae.